GUCACUACUUUUACUUGACUUCCAUCUUGUAAUACUCUUAGAUAGAAGUGGUUGUCAAAGCGUGUGGUAUUAGUGAUGGCAAAACUGAAAAAAGACACAAAAGAGCCUCUCACAUUCCAAAGAGAAGUGUCUCUGCUGUUAAAAAAAGGCAUUUGACCAGAAUUUAACCUGCAUAAUUUCAUAAAAAAGGUCUUUUCAUUUGGAUAUUUUCAGGUUUUUGAGCAACUGCUAUCGUACAACAGUCCUUCAAAUUGUUGACCUUUUGUAACCCUUGUGGUAGGAAAAAAUAUCUAAUUUUGAUAGCAGUGGUUUGAACUAAUGGAUGUGAGGAUGUACCACAAGGAAAGAGAGACAGCUUAGUGAAAUAUUUUUCUGAUUUGUCGACUGUUUUAAAAAGUAAAGGAUGGAUUCUGUGAAAAAGAGCAGCUCUGAUGCCAGCAUUAACUUCAUAUAGCAACAUAAAGAAAGGUCUGAAAGCAGAGCUCUCUUAGAGAAGCCAGAAGUUAAAUUUGGUGCUGGCUAACAAGGUGCUUCUUCGCUCGCUCUCAGGUUAAUUUUAGUGCUGCAUCUCUCAGCGGGAGUUUGCAUGGCACUGAUACAAACUGCUUUGACUUAGAUCAAGCUGCUUUGAAGUUUGAAAGCAAAUUAAGCCCUUUCGCUCGCUCAAACUUAGAGAGAGCCAGUUCUUCUGCAGGCUUAAAACAUCGAUCACACUCAGCCCCCCGUCCUCCUCGCUCCCUAAACUUGUUCUGCACUCCUGAAUCUGUCCCUACAUGCUGUCAGAUAUCAACUUGCAGAUUAUUAUUUUUGUUUGAAUUUGCUUGUACGGCCUCCACAGCUUUUAUAAUAAACUUCAGAAGACUGAACUCAGUGCGUAUAUUCGAAAAUGCGUUCAUGACUGUGUGUUUUCUCGCUGCCUCAUGCCAGAAUCAAAGGAGUUGGUAGUAAUUGAAGGUCUAAUGAGUGUAACAGAAAGGCUAUUAGGCCCUCAGUCAUGACUUACUGUUUGUGUGUGUCUGUAUGUGUGUGUGUAAAUCCUUUUAAUCAACAGUCCACAAUAAUGAGGCUUCAGCUUUGACAUGUAACAAAACCUUUGAUUCAAGAAUUACAUCCACAAUUAAGGCAUUAAUAGCAGAGUGGGACAGAAAGGGACUUGAUCAGCCUUCUAAAGGUACAGUCAAUGCUCAAUGGGCUUUCUAUAUAACUGUUUCUCUAGUCUGCUGACCACUAAAAGAGCUUUUGUACUGAAAACAUUCACACACCAACAGGGGGCAGAUCAGAGACAAGUAUCUUGGGCGCUACAGCAUGGGGUCAGCAGGACUCCUUCUACUUCUGGACCACAGCAAGAUGUAAACAUGGAUCACCCACUUCAUAACACCUUAAAAGGAUAUUCCAGCGUACAAUCAAGUUAUGGUCAAACACACUGUAACACUGAGUUAGACACCCCCUCGAGAGAUGUAUGUUGCCGACUGCUAGCUUCUCUAGUUAUAACAACUUCAGCAACGACCACACGAUAGCAAUACACAGCCGAACUUCAACCAAACCAAAAAGCCACUCUCUAGCCACAGAUAAUACUCAGAACAGCACGUAACUUCAUCAAAAUAUAGAGUGCCAGCCAUAGUGCUAACCAUCAAACAUCUUUUUAGCUUCGCCUGGUUUCUUUAGCUAAGAGACCAAACACAACUCACCCACUCUCCUCCAGCAGCUGCUUGUUUGUGGGGAAGCCCUGACGAGUCGAUCACAGAGUGCAGUAGAGUUUCACAGCUCAAGGAAGAACAUUUAUGCACAUUACUUCAUGGAAAUGCAAUCAGACUGAGACACUAAGGCAGAAGAACUACCGCGUCUGCAGGACAAAAUGAUUAUUAUGAAGAUAAUUAUGGAAAUGAUCCUCUGCACUCUGUGAUCGACUGGUCUAGACCAUGCCCUGCGUAUAAUCAUUUACAAAGACCCAACAUAUUGACAUAGAUGAAACUGAGUCUCAUUCAGUGAGUGUAGACUCACUAUUACCCGGUCUUGAGCCACCAUGAGCAAAAACUUUGCAGCAUUUAUCAAGUAAUAGUGGAGAGGAAGAACUUCCUUUUAACAGGCAGAAACCUUGAGCACAACCAGACUCAUAGUAGACACUCAUCUGCUGAGAUUGAGCUGGGAUGGGACAAAUAGUAACAGCAACAGUCUCAUACAGACUCAUAAGUACAUUUGUAGUACUAUAAUGGUAACAAUAUGUUAAGUAGUUAAUGUGUGGCUGUAAAAGUCGGCAGUAUCUUCACAUUAUGAUAAUUGAUAACGAAGGUAGGCAUGAUAAAGAAGACUCCUAACUCAUUCUUCAGUUUGCACACAUUACAGCAUCAUUUUACUGAAUACAUCCACAUGCACCAAAUGUUUAACAACACACAGCUAAAAUUAAAUCCAGACCUACACCAAUUUGGGCAAUACUUGUUCAGCAACCUGUUCAAAUUACUUAUUGCUUUCCUGUUUUUUUUAAAAGAAGUCCAUGCCAGCUGGGAAUAUUUCACUCUAUAUGAGUAAAUAAAUUUGGCAGCUGUUGUUUUAAAGAUGCAGCUUGAGUUCAGUCUGUUUUUUUUUUUGUUUUUUUUAAGUUUUUCUAUUAACUCACGCUCACUCCCUCCGGCGCACACACACACACACACACUCCACCUCCAGAGAGAGAGUGAAACCAAGCAACCCUCCUUUGUAUUGGACAGUGGGUAACUUAUAAGCUGUACUGACAGAAUGACAACACUUUAUUUAACAGACUGCUGGCUGUAGCUUGGAGAUAUAUGGCAUCCUGAGCAUCAGAUAAUGAUUUCUACCUCUAGAAAAUGGAUGUAUUGCAUUCUGGAAAUGAACCAACUGCUUGCGUUUGCUUUCCCUCUCUUCCCCCUGUGUGUUGUCUAUUGAUUAAUUAAUAGUGAGUGAUCCUUCAUCUUUAAGGACUGUAAUUACACUGGGGAGCAAUACAAGGACAGGGGGGUCGCUGUCAUACACAUGCACUCAUUCAAACACACCUCAGGGAGUGGAUGUAACUUACUGAGUCUGUGUUUGUGUGUGUGUGUUUGCCUCUCGACAGAGCCCAUUUACUCCUGCAGAUGACCCAACCGUAGUCACCAUAUGCCGUUAUAGGCGGCUGAAUGGGAUCCUGGAUCAUCCCCCUGAGCUCACACAAGCUCCUCUGCAUGCAGAGCAAAUUAACUUUAUCCCAACACAGCUAAUCCGCCAUGGAAUUAGGAUUUUAGCCCUCUCAUCUCCACUGAACAGGAUUGGGUGGUGAUGCCAUGUGGGCAUCCCUGCGGAGGUGUUACUGGCCGUAGCAGGUCACACUGUGUGCAUGUUCCGCCCGAGUCUAUCCAAUGAGGAUGAAAAGAGAUGAGGGGGUGAUUAGAUCAAUCAAAACUAGAAAAGCACUCGGAGAGCGGAGACCUCCGCCAAGCAGCUCAUGUCCCCCCUUAAACAAGAAAUGCCCUGACCGGGAUUCUAACCCAGGACCUUCUGGUUGUGAGGCAACAGUGCUAACCACUACACCACUAUGCCACCUAUCCACACCACUGUGCCGCCCAUUGGUUAUCUUUCAGCAUUGAAAAUUCCAAUGACACCCUUAUUUUUGAGUGUUCUGGAUCACAGUAUCCAGAAUUUUGUCCGGAUCCUCCUGGGUCUGAGACGCACCUCUGGUGAAAAUUUCAGGUCAAUCCAUGUGUUACUUUCUCCAUAAAGUUGCUAACAGACAAACAAACAAACCAACACUACCGAAAACAUAACCUCCUUGGCGGAGGUAGCUAUUGUGCAAGAUGUCUCAACAGUUUGCGAGUUUGUGUCCAUUGUUAACAAAUGACUAAAAUACCAUAAAACAUAAACUGAACCCAUGCUUCUAUAUUAUUUUCGUGAUGUUUAUCGAGUCUUUCAGGGUUGCAGAUAAGAGACCCAUCCCCAUUCCAUAUGUCACUUACCAUGGCAUAGAUUCAUUUUGCCUUCAACCUGAUGCUCUUGCAGGACACUUUGAGAUGCUGUGUCUACAUGCUGUGUAUCUACUUGCAUGUUCAUUGCUAGCUUACUUCCAUCACUGUCGGGUAGCCUUGUCUCUUUGAUGCUAUACUAUGAAAAAAGAGAGUAUAAGAGCUUUGGCUUUUGAAUUGUGGCUGGCAUUAGAUUGAGGUUUUAAUCAACUCCAA
Non-coding RNA from Xyrichtys novacula (pearly razorfish), 4163 nucleotides. NCBI's taxonomy places the organism in Eukaryota, Metazoa, Chordata, Actinopteri, Labriformes, Labridae. The record is from the annotation of a GenBank genome assembly.